UAGGGAAUCUUCCACAAUGGACGAAAGUCUGAUGGAGCAACGCCGCGUGAGUGAAGAAGGGUUUCGGCUCGUAAAACUCUGUUGUUAAAGAAGAACAUAUCUGAGAGUAACUGUUCAGGUAUUGACGGUAUUUAACCAGAAAGCCACGGCUAACUACGUGCCAGCAGCCGCGGUAAUACGUAGGUGGCAAGCGUUGUCCGGAUUUAUUGGGCGUAAAGCGAGCGCAGGCGGUUUUUUAAGUCUGAUGUGAAAGCCUUCGGCUCAACCGAAGAAGUGCAUCGGAAACUGGGAAACUUGAGUGCAGAAGAGGACAGUGGAACUCCAUGUGUAGCGGUGAAAUGCGUAGAUAUAUGGAAGAACACCAGUGGCGAAGGCGGCUGUAUGGUCUGUAACUGACGCUGAGGCUCGAAAGUAUGGGUAGCAAACAGG
Molecule: ribosomal RNA, 429 nt
Filed under: Acidobacteriota bacterium
Lineage: Bacteria; Pseudomonadati; Acidobacteriota
Description: Acidobacteria bacterium partial 16S ribosomal RNA
Rfam family: Bacterial small subunit ribosomal RNA
Source: RNAcentral